RNAcentral lists this ribosomal RNA (980 nucleotides) under Gloeocystidiellum clavuligerum. Its description in RNAcentral is "eukaryotic LSU rRNA". It matches the Rfam family "Eukaryotic large subunit ribosomal RNA", at positions 24 to 979 of the family's 3401-position model. The record is from RNAcentral. Lineage: Eukaryota; Fungi; Basidiomycota; Agaricomycetes; Russulales; Gloeocystidiellaceae.
AACCCCGCUGGAACUUAAGCAUAUCAAUAASCKKMGGARWWKARACUAAACAAGGAUUCCCCUAGUAACUGCGAGUGAAGCGGGAAAAGCUCAAAUUUAAAAUCUGGCGGUCUUUGSCCGUCCGAGUUGUAGUUUAGAGAAGUGUUUUCCGCGCUGGACCGUGUACAAGUCUCCUGGAACGGAGCGUCAUAGAGGGUGAGAAUCCCGUCUUUGACACGGACUGCCAGUGCUUUGUGAUGCGCUCUCAAAGAGUCGAGUUGUUUGGGAAUGCAGCUCAAAAUGGGUGGUGAAUUCCAUCUAAAGCUAAAUAUUGGCGAGAGACCGAUAGCGAACAAGUACCGUGAGGGAAAGAUGAAAAGCACUUUGGAAAGAGAGUUAAACAGUACGUGAAAUUGUUGAAAGGGAAACGCUUGAAGUCAGUCGCGUCUGUCAAGACUCAGCCUUGCCUUUGGCUUGGUGUAUUUCUUGAUAGACGGGCCAGCAUCACUUUUGAUCGCCGGAAAAGGGUGGGGGAAAGGUGGCACCUUCGGGUGUGUUAUAGUCCCCUGUCGUAUACGGUGGUUGGGAGUGAGGAACUCAGCACGCCUUUAUGGUCGGGGCUUCGGCCUACGUUCGUGCUUAGGAUGCUGGCGUAAUGGCUUUAAACGACCCGUCUUGAAACACGGACCAAGGAGUCUAACAUGCCCGCGAGUGUUUGGGUGGAAAACCCAUGCGCGUAAUGAAAGUGAAAGUUGGGACCUCUGUCGUGGAGGGCACCGACGCCCGGACCAGAACUUCUGUGACGGAUCUGCGGUAGAGCGUGUAUGUUGGGACCCGAAAGAUGGUGAACUAUGCCUGAAUAGGGUGAAGCCAGAGGAAACUCUGGUGGAGGCUCGUAGCGAUUCUGACGUGCAAAUCGAUCGUCAAAUUUGGGUAUAGGGGCGAAAGACUAAUCGAAYCAUCUAGUAGCWGGUUUCCUGCCGAAGUUUCCCCUCCAGGAA